CCAAGUAGCAACCGAAGCUUUUUUCUCCCAGUUUCAACCCCCUCAUGUCCACAAACUGCCUUCGCUUACUAUUCCUAUCCCGUUUCUACAUUCUACAACGUUUGUUGCGUUCUCGCUCAUCAGGGUGUUUGUCAAUUCUCUCUUGCCACACGAAGAGAAUUCUCCUGCACACUUCGUGUGUUGGAUUCUACCCAUCCCUGUUGAACACACGUCAUUUUCUUCCAUCGCACUCAUCAGGGUGUUUGCUCUUUUCCAUCCAAGCCAAAGAGCGACUUCACUGUGCUCUGAACCGUGGAUGUGAGAGUGUGUGUUUGUGUGCUGCGUGAACUAUUUUUCCUGCGUGAAACACUUUCCAUACUGCGCCAUCCGCGGUGUUCUUUCUGCUUCAUCGGACGACGAAUUUUUAUCAUCUAAUUGUUUGGUUUCAGAUGUGUGCUGCUACCGCUAGCUGUUCCUCAAACUACUUAAAAAGUGUGACACUGUGUGCACAGGCGUUCAAGUUUCAAUUGAUCCUCAAGCACAAAGCCUUCAUACAACACCGCGGUUGAGGCGCGCCAAAUCUGAUGACAUCUUUCCUGAACCAAGCAGGCUGAACACGCGCACCACCAUGGGCUCCAGCGCGGUGUGAAGAGGGAAGAAGAAAAGGCAGAAUUGGAAACAGCCGCACCAGGCUUCCAACCACCGUGUGUGUGUAUGUAAGUAUGUGAGAACACAUGUGUGAAUCCUCUUGUGGGAACUGCAAAAAGAAGAGAAUAAAGAGUGUGAAGCAGCUAGACUGCCGCAACCAAAUCAAGAGAGUGAAUUCUCAUUUCAAUCCGAAAAACUGGGAGAGAGUGAUGACAUGCGAGAGAGAAUAAAACUAGAAACACGAGAGAGGACACGAAGCGCUUUCGGGUUUUUUUCGCCUUCGCGCACUUUUUGCUUUAUGCGCGCGAAAAAGUGAGCCUUGAU
Molecule: long non-coding RNA, 951 nt
Organism: Anopheles coluzzii
Lineage: Eukaryota; Metazoa; Arthropoda; Insecta; Diptera; Culicidae
Exons: 3
Source: RefSeq, a predicted model, not a curated record